CAGUCGCCGCGGGAAUACGUAGGGUGCAAGCGUUAAUCGGAAUUACUGGGCGUAAAGCGUGCGCAGGCGGUUUUGUAAGACAGAGGUGAAAUCCCCGGGCUCAACCUGGGAACUGACUUUGUGACUGCAAGGCUAGAGUACGGCAGAGGGGGAUGGAAUUCCGCGUGUAGCAGUGAAAUGCGUAGAUAUGCGGAGGAACACCGAUGGCGAAGGCAAUCCCCUGGGCCUGUACUGACGCUCAUGCACGAAAGCGUGGGGAGCAAACAGGAUUAGACACCCAAGUAGUCCCUGUCUCUUAUAC
RNAcentral lists this ribosomal RNA (301 nucleotides) under uncultured bacterium. Its description in RNAcentral is "partial 16S ribosomal RNA". It matches the Rfam family "Bacterial small subunit ribosomal RNA", at positions 509 to 807 of the family's 1533-position model. The record is from RNAcentral.